GCUUGCAAUAGCUUAAAUAGAGCGUGACGUUGAAGCUGUUAAGGUAAUUGUUGAAAAUUUUCAAGCA
RNAcentral lists this transfer RNA (67 nucleotides) under Quasilineus sinicus. RNAcentral describes it as "tRNA-Phe". Lineage: Eukaryota; Metazoa; Nemertea; Pilidiophora; Heteronemertea; Lineidae. The record is from RNAcentral.